Molecule: transfer RNA, 537 nt
Filed under: uncultured cyanobacterium
Lineage: Bacteria; Bacillati; Cyanobacteriota
Description: partial miscellaneous RNA
Rfam family: tRNA (bases 213-285)
Source: RNAcentral
CAGGGAGACAACAAAAUGUUUAAUAUUAUUAUUUUGUCACCUUAGGUCGAUCGGUAUCUCACAUUCUUAAUUUAUUAAGGAUUUUAUUUCCUAAGUUUUUUCUAGGUCACACCCAUUACUUUUCCUGGGCCAUUAGCUCAGGUGGUUAGAGCGCACCCCUGAUAAGGGUGAGGUCCCUGGUUCAAGUCCAGGAUGGCCCAUAUCUCUAUGUUGGGGGUAUAGCUCAGUUGGUAGAGCACCUGCUUUGCAAGCAGGAUGUCAGCGGUUCGAGUCCGCUUACCUCCACUGAUUACCACCUCUUCCAUAAUUAUUAAGGAAAUGUUUUGAGUAGUGAUCAAAUUCUGAACGAAUCUAGCUUCCUAAUGAAUUCAUUAAGAUGCUGGACUCAUUGAAUUAUUUUCAUUGUUUUCAGAGAACCUUGACAAUUGCAUAGAUUAUUUUUAAAGACAAUAAGCAUCUUUAUGAUGCAGAUUUAUUAUUUGUGCGAAUGCAUUAAUAACAAUUCUAUUAAGCUGAUGCUUCAAUUAUGAAGUUAUU